This 74-nucleotide transfer RNA is filed under the name Phycisphaerales bacterium. RNAcentral describes it as "tRNA-Val". It matches the Rfam family "tRNA". From Rfam's summary of the family: Transfer RNA (tRNA) molecules are approximately 80 nucleotides in length. Lineage: Bacteria; Pseudomonadati; Planctomycetota; Phycisphaerae; Phycisphaerales. RNAcentral also lists the same sequence under 1 other name. The record is from RNAcentral.
GGGCGAUUAGCUCAAUUGGCUAGAGCGCCUGCCUUACACGCAGGAGGUCGCAGGUUCGAGUCCUGCAUCGCCCA